CAUGCAAGUUGAGCGUACUCCGCAAGGAGAAGCAGCGUAAGGGGCAGUAAGGCAUGGGUACCUACCUCGGGUUCGGGUAUAGCCUGUAGAGAUACAGGGUAAUCCCCGAUGAUGUCGUAAGACCAAAGCUCCGGCGACCGGAGAGGGGCCCAUGUGAUAUUAGCUAGUUGGUGGGGUAACGGCCCACCAAGGCGAAGAUGUCUAGCGGGUGUGAGAGCACGACCCGCGCCACUGGCACUGAGACACUGGCCAGACACCUACGGGUGGCUGCAGUCGAGGAUCUUCGGCAAUGGGCGCAAGCCUGACCGAGCGACGCCGCGUGUGCGACGAAGGCCUUCGGGUUGUAAAGCACUGUCGAGGGGGAGAAAACCGCAAGGUUGAUCUAUCCCUGGAGGAAGCACGGGCUAAGUUCGUGCCAGCAGCCGCGGUAAGACGAACCGUGCGAACGUUGUUCGGAAUCACUGGGCUUAAAGGGCGCGUAGGCGGGCUGUCAAGUCCGGGGUGAAAUCCUCCCGCUCAACGGGAGAACGGCCUCGGAUACUGACGGCCUCGAGGGAGAUAGGGGCACGCGGAACUGUGGGUGGAGCGGUGAAAUGCGUUGAUAUCCAUAGGAACUCCGGUGGCGAAGGCGGCGUGCUGGAUCUCUUCUGACGCUGAGGCGCGAAAGCCAGGGGAGCAAACGGGAUUAGAUACCCCGGUAGUCCUGGCCCUAAACGUUGAGAACUAGGUUGUAGACUAGACAUGGGUUUACAGCCGAAGCAAAAGUGCUAAGUUCUCCGCCUGGGGAGUAUGGUCGCAAGGCUGAAACU
RNAcentral lists this ribosomal RNA (809 nucleotides) under uncultured Planctomycetota bacterium. Its description in RNAcentral is "bacterial SSU rRNA". It matches the Rfam family "Bacterial small subunit ribosomal RNA", at positions 54 to 901 of the family's 1533-position model. The record is from RNAcentral. Lineage: Bacteria; Pseudomonadati; Planctomycetota.